GAUGAACGCUGGCGGCGUGCCUAAUACAUGCCAGUCGAGCGAACGGACGAGAAGCUUGCUUCUCUGAUGUUAGCGGCGGACGGGUGAGUAACACGUGGAUAACCUACCUAUAAGACUGGGAUAACUUCGGGAAACCGGAGCUAAUACCGGAUGAUAUUUUGGACCGCAUGGUUCAAAAGUGAAAGACGGUCUUGCUGUCACUUAUAGAUGGAUCCGCGCUGCAUUAGCUAGUUGGUAAGGUAACGGCUUACCAAGGCAACGAUGCAUAGCCGACCUGAGAGGGUGAUCGGCCACACUGGAACUGAAACACGGUCCAGACUCCUACGGGAGGCAGCAGUAGGGAAUCUGCCGCAAUGGGCGAAAGCCUGACGGAGCAACGCCGCGUGAGUGAUGAAGUUCUUCGGAUCGUAAAACUCUGUUAUUAGGGAAGAACAUAUGUGUAAGUAACUGUGCACAUCUUGACGGUACCUAAUCAGAAAGCCACGGCUAACUACGUG
RNAcentral lists this ribosomal RNA (497 nucleotides) under uncultured bacterium. Its description in RNAcentral is "partial 16S ribosomal RNA". It matches the Rfam family "Bacterial small subunit ribosomal RNA", at positions 28 to 507 of the family's 1533-position model. The record is from RNAcentral.